UCAAGACAAAAUUUCAUGAAGCGCCCUCUGCUUGAAGAUAUAAAAGCGCAAAUUUCGUUCGACCGUUUGUCAGUGUUUCUUCGAACCUCACACUAACGUCACCAUGAAGAUUGUGUUGCUUUUGCUGGUGCUCCUGCCCAUUGCGUUCUCUGUCGAAGUCGAAAAGAGAUUCUUUCUUCCCGACGCACUAAAGACAGUUUGUGCCGUAUUGGGAGCUGAUGCAACGGAAGCCCAGUGUGAAUCUCUGUGCCAUGCCAACCUACCAGCGUAUCUAACCGCCUUCUGUGGCGCAGCGUGCCAAUUGAUUCAAAGUGGAGCCCACUCUUGCGACUAAAUACAGACACUGCAUUUACUGAAACUGCAAAGUAAUAAAACAAUCAUAUGAAUUA
Mya arenaria is the source of this 389-nucleotide long non-coding RNA. RefSeq lists it as uncharacterized. NCBI's taxonomy places the organism in Eukaryota, Metazoa, Mollusca, Bivalvia, Myida, Myidae. The record is from RefSeq and is a predicted model, not a curated record. The transcript is spliced from 4 exons.